UGGGGAAUAUUGGACAAUGGGCGAAAGCCUGAUCCAGCCAUGCCGCGUGUGUGAAGAAGGCCUUUUGGUUGUAAAGCACUUUAAGCGAGGAGGAGGCUACUUGGAUUAAUACUCUAGGAUAGUGGACGUUACUCGCAGAAUAAGCACCGGCUAACUCUGUGCCAGCAGCCGCGGUAAUACAGAGGGUGCGAGCGUUAAUCGGAUUUACUGGGCGUAAAGCGUGCGUAGGCGGCUUCUUAAGUCGGAUGUGAAAUCCCUGAGCUUAACUUAGGAAUUGCAUUCGAUACUGGGAAGCUAGAGUAUGGGAGAGGAUGGUAGAAUUCCAGGUGUAGCGGUGAAAUGCGUAGAGAUCUGGAGGAAUACCGAUGGCGAAGGCAGCCAUCUGGCCUAAUACUGACGCUGAGGUACGAAAGCAUGGGGAGCAUACAGG
Molecule: ribosomal RNA, 430 nt
Filed under: bacterium
Lineage: Bacteria
Description: partial 16S ribosomal RNA
Rfam family: Bacterial small subunit ribosomal RNA
Source: RNAcentral